This 492-nucleotide ribosomal RNA is filed under the name uncultured bacterium. Its description in RNAcentral is "partial 16S ribosomal RNA". It matches the Rfam family "Bacterial small subunit ribosomal RNA", at positions 29 to 507 of the family's 1533-position model. The record is from RNAcentral.
AGUGAACGCUGGCGGUAGGCCUAACACAUGCAAGUCGAACGGCAGCACAGUAAGAGCUUGCUCUUACGGGUGGCGAGUGGCGGACGGGUGAGGAAUACGUCGGAAUCUACUUUUUCGUGGGUGAUAACGGAGGGAAACUUACGCUAAUACCUCAUACGACCUACGGGUGAAAGCAGAGGAUCUUCGGACCUUGCGCGAUUGAAUUAGCCGAUGUCGGAUUAGCUAGUUGGCGGGGUAAAGGCCCACCAAGGCAACGAUCCGUAGCUGGUCUGAGAGGAUGAUCAGCCACACUGGAACUGAGACACGGUCCAGACUCCUACGGGAGGCAGCAGUGGGGAAUAUUGGACAAUGGGCGCAAGCCUGAUCCAGCCAUACCGCGUGGGUGAAGAAGGCCUUCGGGUUGUAAAGCCCUUUUGUUGGGAAAGAAAAGCAGCAGGUUAAUACCCCGCUGUUCUGACGGUACCCAAAGAAUAAGCACCGGCUAACUUCGUG